This 1324-nucleotide ribosomal RNA is filed under the name metagenome. Its description in RNAcentral is "bacterial LSU rRNA". It matches the Rfam family "Bacterial large subunit ribosomal RNA", at positions 1561 to 2925 of the family's 2925-position model. The record is from RNAcentral.
AGUGGAUGGGGAGCAACCUAGUUGUGCGUGUGUAAAGGUAGUGCCAAGAAAAGCGAUGAUCAUGUUGAAAAUCAAUUCCCGGUACCCGAAACCGACACAGGUGGGCAAGUAGAGAAUACUAAGGGGCGCGAGGUAACUCUCUCCAAGGAACUCGGCAAAAUGACCCCGUAACUUAGGGAGAAGGGGUGCCACCGAGAGGUGGUCGCAGUGAAGAGGCCCAGGCGACUGUUUAGCAAAAACAUAGGUCUCUGCAAACUCGAAAGAGGAGGUAUAGGGGCUGACGCCUGCCCGGUGCCGGAAGGUUAAAGAAGUUGGUCAGUCUUAGGAUGAAGCUAGCGACUGAAGCCCCGGUGAACGGCGGCCGUAACUAUAACGGUCCUAAGGUAGCGAAAUUCCUUGUCGGGUAAGUUCCGACCCGCACGAAAGGCAUAACGAUCUGGGCGCUGUCUCGGAGAGAGGCUCGGCGAAAUAGGAUUGUCUGUGAAGAUACGGACUACCUGCAUUUGGACAGAAAGACCCUAUGAAGCUUUACUAUAGCUUGAAUUGUGUUCGGGCUUCCUGUGCGCAGGAUAGGUGGGAGGCGUAGAAGGUAUUCUUGUGGGGAUACUGGAGCCAACGGUGAGAUACCACUCUCAGGAGGCUAGAAUUCUAACUUAAUUAAGGACAGUUUCAGGUGGGUAGUUUGACUGGGGCGGUCGCCUCCAAAAAGGUAACGGAGGCGUACAAAGGUUCCCUCAGACUGGUUGGAAAUCAGUCGAAGAGUGCAAAGGCAGAAGGGAGCUUGACUGCGAGAAGUACAGUUCGAGCAGGGUGGAAACACGGUCUUAGUGAUCCGACGGUGCUGUGUGGAAGGGCCGUCGCUCAACGGAUAAAAGUUACUCUAGGAUAACAGGCUGAUCUCCCCCAAGAGUUCACAUCGACGGGGAGGUUUGGCACCUCGAUGUCGGCUCAUCGCAACCUGGGGCGGAAGUACGUCCCAAGGGUUGGGCUGUUCGCCCAUUAAAGCGGUACGUGAGCUGGGUUCAGAACGUCGUGAGACAGUUCGGUCCAUAUCCGAUGUAGGCGUGAGAAUAUUGAGAGGAGCCUUCCUUAGUACGAGAGGACCGGGAAGGACGCACCGCUGGUGUACCUGUUAUGAUGCCAAUUGUAAACGCAGGGUAGCCAAGUGCGGAGAGGAUAACCGCUGAAAGCAUCUAAGUGGGAAGCCCACCUCAAGAUGAGUAUUCUGGUGUAAGGUCACGGGAAGACGACCCGUAAAUAGGCACGAGGUGGAAGUGCAGAGAUGUAUGAAGCCGAAGUGUACUAAUAGACCGUCGGCUUGAUC